Molecule: ribosomal RNA, 495 nt
Filed under: uncultured bacterium
Lineage: Bacteria
Description: partial 16S ribosomal RNA
Rfam family: Bacterial small subunit ribosomal RNA
Source: RNAcentral
GACGAACGCUGGCGGCGUGCCUAAUACAUGCAAGUAGAACGCUGAAGGAGGAGCUUGCUUCUCUGGAUGAGUUGCGAACGGGUGAGUAACGCGUAGGUAACCUGCCUGGUAGCGGGGGAUAACUAUUGGAAACGAUAGCUAAUACCGCAUAAGAGUAGAUGUCGCAUGACAUUUGCUUAAAAGGUGCAAUUGCAUCACUACCAGAUGGACCUGCGUUGUAUUAGCUAGUUGGUGAGGUAACGGCUCACCAAGGCAACGAUACAUAGCCGACCUGAGAGGGUGAUCGGCCACACUGGGACUGAGACACGGCCCAGACUCCUACGGGAGGCAGCAGUAGGGAAUCUUCGGCAAUGGACGGAAGUCUGACCGAGCAACGCCGCGUGAGUGAAGAAGGGUUUCGGAUCGUAAAGCUCUGUUGUAAGAGAAGAACGAGUGUGAGAGUGGAAAGUUCACACCGUGACGGUAGCUUACCAGAAAGGGACGGCUAACUACGUG